Molecule: long non-coding RNA, 1280 nt
Filed under: Gallus gallus (chicken)
Lineage: Eukaryota; Metazoa; Chordata; Aves; Galliformes; Phasianidae
Description: long non-coding RNA NONGGAT011893
Source: RNAcentral
CCGACCGCUACGGCCAAGGCCGCGGGAAGCCGCCGCGAAAGACCGCAGUCGCUUCGGCUGGGCCUCGGGCCCGCUGCCGUUUGCUCGCUCCCUGUCGCGACUCCUGGCCGCGGCUCGCCACCACCCAACAUACCGCCCCUACAGACACGACGCACCUCGUAGAAGGCUUGCACCAUCUCCACCAGGACCCACUGCUGCCCCAUGCCCACCGCCGCUGCCAUCUCCACGUCCGCCCGUCUACUCACAACCGACCAGCUUCCGCCCCGGCGCCCCGACGCCGACGUGAGGGGAGGGGCCACCGCCCACGGCCUGGGGAGAGCGCUCCCUGUCGCCCGGAGGGAGGGGAGCACAGUUGACGGUUGCGGCGCAGCUGGGCAGCGGCGGCGCCGUGGCGGGCAGCGUGCCAGCGUGGGCCCGGCGCCACCACCGGCGGAGCGGGGUGGAGACGUGGGGCUGGAGGGGAGAUUGAGGCUGCCGGUGCUGAAGGCUGACGGAUGGGAAAAGUGGAGCGCGAAGCUGGGGGAAGCUCGAGAGAAACGUGGCUCAGCCUCCACCAAAGGAACUGAUUCGUAAUAGUGCAAAAAGCACUCUCGUAAUGGGAUUGCUGGGCAUGUUGGAGCAACGUUCCUGACAUGCACACACUACGACGAAACCUGACAGGAAACCGAUAGCUUUGUGUCGUGACCACAAGCUUCUGCACAAUGUUGUGUAGGAGUAAGGGCACCCACUGGUCACUGUGUUUCUACAUUCUAGCCAUCUCAAUCUAUGACAGCAUCUUCAACUGCUUCAGCUGUAGUGAUUAAAGUGACAUGAAGUGGAAAUGCCAUACAACAAGGACCAAAUGUGACCUCAACUGCUAGAAGCUGAUUACUAUUGUUAUUAUCCUGAGCAGCCACAGUCCUCUUUUCAAAGUAUUUUUAGUUAAAUUUAGACUUUCAGAUCAAAAAGCUAACUUAUGGGAUGUAGGCACAGUAUUAUCUCCUGCCUACAAUUCUCUUUGCAGUGACUAGGCGGGCUUUUCUGCGCUGGGCUAAGCACUUAAGUUUCCGAUAAAUGUCAGAUGAAAGUAUCUUAACAUGGAAUUGACAACAGAUAAACCCAGUUCUGUGUUGAUUAGAAAAAACUUGUGUUAGGAACUUGGAAGAACAUCUUAACCAAACUGCUAAGAUCACCAACAGAACAGACACUAAAUGAGAAUGCUUGCCUUACAGAGAGAAGGUUACCCAUAUGCAGUGUUGCAAAGCUGAACUAGGUUUUCUGUCUCGUGUGGCCAAAUCCCA